CCCUAGGAGCCCGCACCCUGUCUCGGGUUCCAGGGGGUGGUCGGGGCUCCCAAGAGGACGGGGUGAGGAAGCCAAAGGAGGCGCGGCUGGAAAAAUGGGGGGUUAGAUUGGCGGAACGGGCGAUCGUCAGGCGUGAAGGCACAGCGGGAAGGUACUGGGCUGAAUUCUUUGGUGCCGCGCAGGUCCCUCCAGUCCCCAACUCACCCGGGGUGGAACAGGCACGAGCCGAAACCCCAAGGAGAGUGUCCGGGAUCCGCGCUUGAGCCUCCUUGGGAGUGGGGAAAAGAGGGGUGGACAAAGCGCUGCCCGCGGCCAGACGAGCUCUGGGUGCAGCCGGCUGGCCUCCGAGCCUGGGGACCUGCAGCCCCCGCGGCGGCCGGGUCAGGGCUCAGCCCUAGAGGGUCUCUGGUGAGGCCGGGGCGCAGCUCGCGGGGCGCCGGCGAGGCGGUCCAGUAUCGCGCAGUCCUGCCGCCGGCCCUAGACUGGGAGGCGGCUGCGCUCCUAGGUUUGCGCUCCUGUUUGCAAGGGGGCCUCAAAUGACAAACGCUAGCAAUAACGUACACCCGUAGAACUCGAAUUCCAGAAACUGGAAUUCUUGUUCUCAAGUUUACAAACCUUUAGUUUAUUUUUUAAAGGAACUGAGGCAUUUUGUUGGACCAAAGCCGAAAAGAUUUUGCCACAUAGACCAUGGAAACAGCCUAAGGCUCUUUCAGCAGAAUUGUGUAGCCCGAAUGCAAUUUUAGAUUUCAAAUUUCUCAAGGGAAGAGAAACUCUCCGUUAGAACUAAGGAGGGAGGGUGGCGCAUGCUUGUGUGUUUCUCAGCUAAACAGAGCUGUGUUUAUCUUUCCAAUUCAAGUUUUACCCGAUUUUAGCUUUAGGAAUAAAUUGUGGGAAUAUUUGGGAACAUGAAAUCUUGCCAUUGUUCCAGGAUCAUUAUAAUUGAUAAUUUAUCAUUGCUAGAGAAAAGAAUUACAUGUAUUUUAUUUAUUUGUGUGAUUGGCACCUUUUGUGAGAAAAGUGAUGUACAUUUUCAUAAGGCAGGAAAUUAUUCUAAGAAACCUUGUUUAAAUAUAUGUAUCAGUCUCUCAGUAUCCUUUGAGUUCCCUGUAGUUCCUCCUAUUAUUCUUUUUAAGAACUAUUUACUUUCCUAAAAUACUUAAAUCCUAUUCAGAAGAUUUCAUUUGUCUAGGUGUCAGAUAUACACCAAUUUAUAAGAAAAUUCCAAUAAAUCUUUACAGACACAUUGCUUUAUUAGAGUUGCCACAAUUUAAUGAAGGACUUUUCUUUUUUUCACUUUUUACUCAGAGAAUUGAAGCUCAUUGUCUCAGCCUGGAAAUUUGAUGGUGGGAGAUACGAUUACAUACAAAAUAAAAGCACAAAAUAUAGUAAUUAGGUUUACUUAUUGUGUUUUUCAGGAAAAAGGAAGUGAAGGGGUAAUAGAAAAAAAGGCAACAACAACUGACCUACCACAAAGUUAGGAGAAAAGGAUUGAUUCAAGAAAGACUAUAAUAUGGAUUUAGAGCUCAAGGAGUAUUAUAACAAGACACUUUCUGCAGAGAAUGAUACUACUGCCACUCGGAAUUCUGAUUUUCCAGUCUGGGAUGACUAUAAAAGCAGUGUAGAUGACUUACAAUAUUUUCUGAUUGGACUCUAUACAUUUGUAAGUCUUCUUGGUUUUAUGGGGAAUCUACUUAUUUUAAUGGCUCUCAUGAAAAAGCGUAAUCAGAAGACUACAGUAAACUUCCUCAUAGGAAAUCUGGCCUUUUCUGAUAUCUUGGUUGUGCUAUUUUGCUCACCUUUCACACUGACCUCUGUCUUGCUGGAUCAGUGGAUGUUUGGCAAAGUCAUGUGCCAUAUUAUGCCUUUCCUUCAAUGCGUGUCGGUUUUGGUUUCAACUUUAAUUUUAAUAUCAAUUGCCAUUGUCAGGUAUCAUAUGAUAAAACAUCCUAUGUCUAAUAAUUUAACAGCAAACCAUGGCUACUUUCUGAUAGCUACGGUCUGGACACUAGGUUUUGCAAUUUGUUCUCCCCUUCCUGUGUUUCACAGUCUUGUGGAACUUCAGGAAACAUUUGGUUCAGCAUUGCUGAGCAGCAGGUAUUUAUGUGUUGAAUCGUGGCCAUCUGAUUCAUACAGAAUUGCCUUUACUAUCUCUUUAUUGCUAGUUCAGUAUAUUUUGCCCUUAGUUUGUCUAACUGUAAGUCAUACCAGUGUCUGCAGGAGUGUAAGCUGCGGAUUGUCCAACAAAGAAAACAGACUGGAAGAAAAUGAGAUGAUCAACUUAAGUCUCCAUCCAUCCAAAAAAAGUGGACCUCAGGUGAAACUCUCCAACAGCCAUAAAUGGAGUUAUUCAUUAAUCAGAAAGCACAGAAGAAGAUACAGCAAGAAGACGGCAUGUGUAUUACCUGCUCCAGCAAGACCUGCUCAAGAAAACCAUUCUAGAACACUUCCAGAAAACUUUGGCUCUGGGAGGAGUCAACUCUCUUCAUCCAGUAAGUUCAUACCAGGGGUCCCCAUUUGCUUUGAGAUGAAACCUGAAGAAAACUCAGAUGCUCAUGAAAUGAGAGUAAAACGUUCUGUCACAAGAAUAAAAAAGAGAUCUCGAAGUGUUUUCUACAGACUGACCAUGUUGAUACUAGUGUUUGCUGUUAGUUGGAUGCCACUACACCUUUUCCAUGUGGUAACUGACUUUAAUGAUAACCUUAUUUCAAACAGACAUUUCAAGUUGGUGUACUGCAUUUGUCAUUUGUUAGGCAUGAUGUCCUGUUGUCUUAAUCCAAUUCUAUAUGGAUUUCUUAAUAACGGAAUUAAAGCUGACUUAAUGUCCCUUAUACACUGUAUUCAUAUGUCAUAGUUCUCACUGUUUACCAAGAAAAGAAAAAAUGUUUCAGUCAUCUAAGAUAUAUUCGUGAUAACUAUGUCUGUAUAAUAAAUAGAAAUUUUGUUAAUAUAUGGAAUUUAAUUUAUGUGAAAGAGUUCAGGAUUUUAAUGUCAGUUCAUAAUAUAUGGAAGAUAAUUUUAAUAAUAUAAUUAAUUUAUUUAGUUGUAUAGAGUCAGUGUCAAUCCAAUCUGUAACUUUAUUUUUAAAGGUAGUAUUAUCUUCUAUUUCAUGUUGUCCUGUAAAAAAUGAAUUGUAUUUUUUGCUUAAAAUAAAAGUAAUAUUUAACCAA
RNA transcript from Propithecus coquereli (Coquerel's sifaka), 3167 nucleotides. It is a transcript of the gene named neuropeptide Y receptor Y5, with no coding region annotated. Lineage: Eukaryota; Metazoa; Chordata; Mammalia; Primates; Indriidae. The record is from RefSeq and is a predicted model, not a curated record. The transcript has 4 exons.